UCCAUGGGGUCACAAAGAGUCAGACACAACUGAGCGACUGUCAAGGAGAGACCCAGUUCAAAAUGAUGAUGUUCGUGGAUCCUAUGUCCCAUGGACACACUGCAUCCUAUAUACAGAACAAUUUCCUCUGAAAGAGCCACAAAAAGUGGUUGCUACAUAUCAGGCAAAUGAGAAAACCACAUCAAAGCAGGUAGGGGGAAGCUGAGACACAGUCUCACCAUAAACCCCACCCCCAGCAUGGCACCCACAAUCAGAAGCAGACUGGCACACCUGAGCUUCUCCCUGGGGAACAAAGGCUUUGAACUCCACAUCUGACAUCCCACAUUUUAAGACCUACACCUGAGAGGCAAGCUUCUGAAGUAUCUAGCUUUGACAGUCAGUGGAGCUUGUUUCCUCAAGACUCACAAGGCUACAGUUAUCUGGGAAUGCAGUGCAGAGGCAGACCGAAAAGGGCCAGUCUUUCUGUAAAAGAGGCCCAACUGCUUAUCGUAAAGCUUUGAGGUUUGUAUUACAAGUGGAAUAUAACUUAAAAAUUGUGGGAGAAGGCAAUGGUACCCCACUCUGCCGGGGUCCAGCCCCGGUGGAUCCAGGGAAUUCGAAGCGGGGACGGUGUCGGCGAGGAUCAGGAAACAACUGCUUAAUUAAAUGUUAAUUAAGGAUAUAAAGAGUAAUAGAAUAAGGAUAGCUGAGUGAGGAAAUUCAGUGGAGAAAAGAGGCUGAAUAAUUCAGCCAGAAGGUGAGAGAAAGAACAACAUGAGGUGACCAAGUUUCUGUGAACAAGGCCCGCACUUUAUUUUCCAAAGUAGUUUUUAUACCUUAAGUUAUGCAUAGAGGAUAAUGGGCGAAGAGGUAGAGUCAGGCAGCAAGCCAGGCUUUCUUCCUGCAAACUUAUCAUAUGCAAAAGUUUAGGUGAUUUGCAUCAUCUUCUGGCCCGGAGGCCUGUUAACAUUUUAAGACCCUUUCUUCAGAAAACUUACUUUUCUCUAAAGGUGAUUAGUCAAGUGCCACCCUCCA
Long non-coding RNA from Bos taurus (domestic cattle), 1014 nucleotides. The record is from Ensembl. NCBI's taxonomy places the organism in Eukaryota, Metazoa, Chordata, Mammalia, Artiodactyla, Bovidae.